GAACGAAACACUUAUCUUUGAUUCUUCGGAUGAAGAGAUUUGUGACUGAGUGGCGGACGGGUGAGUAACGCGUGGGUAACCUGCCUCAUACAGGGGGAUAACAGUUAGAAAUGACUGCUAAUACCGCAUAAGACCACGGAGCCGCAUGGCUCAGUGGGAAAAACUCCGGUGGUAUGAGAUGGACCCGCGUCUGAUUAGGUAGUUGGUGGGGUAACGGCCUACCAAGCCAACGAUCAGUAGCCGACCUGAGAGGGUGACCGGCCACAUUGGGACUGAGACACGGCCCAAACUCCUACGGGAGGCAGCAGUGGGGAAUAUUGCACAAUGGGGGAAACCCUGAUGCAGCGACGCCGCGUGAGCGAAGAAGUAUUUCGGUAUGUAAAGCUCUAUCAGCAGGGAAGAAAAUGACGGUACCUGACUAAGAAGCACCGGCUAAAUACGUGCCAGCAGCCGCGGUAAUACGUAUGGUGCAAGCGUUAUCCGGAUUUACUGGGUGUAAAGGGAGCGUAGACGGCUGUGUAAGUCUUAAGUGAAAGCCCGGGGCUCAACCCCGGGACUGCUUUGGAAACUAUGCAGCUAGAGUGUCGGAGAGGUAAGUGGAAUUCCCAGUGUAGCGGUGAAAUGCGUGGAUAUUGGGAGGAACACCAGUGGCGAAGGCGGCUUACUGGACGAUGACUGACGUUG
This 684-nucleotide ribosomal RNA is filed under the name uncultured Lachnospiraceae bacterium. RNAcentral describes it as "bacterial SSU rRNA". It matches the Rfam family "Bacterial small subunit ribosomal RNA", at positions 64 to 748 of the family's 1533-position model. The record is from RNAcentral. Lineage: Bacteria; Bacillati; Bacillota; Clostridia; Lachnospirales; Lachnospiraceae.